GACCACUCCGGUGGCCUAGUGGUUUAGAGCGUCCGCCACAGAUGGGGGAGGUUGUGGGUUCGAUCCCUGGUCGAGUCA
Molecule: non-coding RNA, 78 nt
Organism: Potamilus streckersoni
Lineage: Eukaryota; Metazoa; Mollusca; Bivalvia; Unionida; Unionidae
Source: the annotation of a GenBank genome assembly